ACGCACAAAGUAUAUAGACAUAAGGUACCAUACGAUCAGAGAGCUAGUGAAGGAAGGUGAAGUAGAGUUGGUGAAGGUCCAUACCAAGAAGAACCAAUUGGAUACACUUAUGAAGGUACUUUCUCAAGAUAGUUUUCAGAUGUGUCUGGCAUGGAUGGGUCUAAAGGAUAAAGCUGAGUUCAUAAGGACUUGGGAGCACCA
RNAcentral lists this long non-coding RNA (201 nucleotides) under Elaeis guineensis (African oil palm). Its description in RNAcentral is "long non-coding RNA (EGUI_LNC061143)". Lineage: Eukaryota; Viridiplantae; Streptophyta; Magnoliopsida; Arecales; Arecaceae. The record is from RNAcentral.